Molecule: ribosomal RNA, 676 nt
Filed under: uncultured bacterium
Lineage: Bacteria
Description: bacterial SSU rRNA
Rfam family: Bacterial small subunit ribosomal RNA
Source: RNAcentral
AGAGUUUGAUCCUGGCUCAGGACGAACGCUGGCGGUGUGCUUCACACAUGCAAGUCGAGCGAAUGAAGUAGGUAGCUUGCUACUUAUGGAUUUAGCGGCGGACGGGUGAGUAAUAUAUAGGAAUCUGCCCUAAUGCGGGGAACAACAGACCGAAAGGUCUGCUAAUGCCCCAUAGGUAUGCAGUCUUCGGAUUGUAUAUUAAAGGAGUAAUCCACUUUAGGAUGAGCCUGUAUCCGAUUAGCUUGUUGGCGGGGUAAUGGCCCACCAAGGCUACGAUCGGUAGUUGGUCUGAGAGGAUGAUCAGCCACAAUGGGACUGAGACACGGCCCAUACUCCUACGGGAGGCAGCAGUGGGGAAUUUUACACAAUGGGGGAAACCCUGAUGUAGCGACACCGCGUGAACGAAGAAGCCUUUUGGGGUGUAAAGUUCUGUCGGCUGGAACGAAAAAAAUGACGGUACCAGCAAAGGAAGCAUCGGCUAACUACGUGCCAGCAGCCGCGGUAAGACGUAGGAUGCAAGCGUUGUCCGGAUUUAUUGGGCGUAAAGAGUUCGUAGGCGGUUAUUUAAGUCUGAUGUUAAAUACUGUGGCCCAACCACAGAACUGCAUUGGAUACUGGAUGACUUGAGUGCGGUAGAGGCAAGUGGAAUUCCCAGUGUAGCGGUGAAAUGCGUAGA